Long non-coding RNA from Amphimedon queenslandica, 442 nucleotides. RefSeq lists it as uncharacterized. Lineage: Eukaryota; Metazoa; Porifera; Demospongiae; Haplosclerida; Niphatidae. The transcript has 3 exons. The record is from RefSeq and is a predicted model, not a curated record.
UUGCUAAUAUAUUCAGAUGGGUACAGAUUGAAAAUAUUACAGUUGACCUUCCCUCAGAUAAAACAGCUCUACCUCAAACAUAUACACUGCAUGCCAUUAAAAUUGGUAGUAAUGAUCACGAUCCUUUUUUACAUAAAGCCAAUUGGUACUAUGUGUCUGGUAGCAGUAGUGCUGAACUCUGCACUGGAUCUAGGGCCUCAUACAGUUGUACAUUCAUGUAUGGUGAUGGAAUGUCAGUAGAUUAUGGUAAUGGAAGGUGGGACUAUACUCUAACUGUUACUUGGAAUGGAGAGACUAUUGCUAGUGGAGUACUGAGCCAAUCAAACAACAAUGGGGAUCAUGUAUUUAGAUUCUAUUUAGAUUUUGGUCAUAUCCAUCACAACCCAGUAAAAAGAAAUAGAGACAUUUUUGUAACAGUACCAGCAACUGCUCCCUCUUCUCU